This 222-nucleotide long non-coding RNA is filed under the name Homo sapiens (human). Its description in RNAcentral is "non-protein coding lnc-BNC2-3:1". Lineage: Eukaryota; Metazoa; Chordata; Mammalia; Primates; Hominidae. The record is from RNAcentral.
UCUUUUUAUAGCAGAAAUGGUUUAUUUUUCAUGCAGGAUAGUGGAGUUGAAUGAUAACAAGUUCAAAUUUUGUGAAUAUAAUACACAAUGGCCUUUAGAAAAAAAGUUUAUAGUUAAGACUUACAAAAGAUAAAGACUUCAAAUUUUUCUUUUAAAUAAAAAUGUCUUUCAUUUAUUAAGGCUAAAAAUCAUAUCAUAACAUUAUAUUUUACUGCUAAGUUG